Molecule: non-coding RNA, 120 nt
Organism: Cordylochernes scorpioides
Lineage: Eukaryota; Metazoa; Arthropoda; Arachnida; Pseudoscorpiones; Chernetidae
Source: the annotation of a GenBank genome assembly
AUAUCUAUAAAUUCGCCUAUUGAAACAAACGGAUUUCGUACCAUCACCGUAUGUUAAGCAAUGUCGGGACCGGUCAGUACUUGGGAGGGUGACCACCUGGGAACACCGGUGCUGUAGGUU